RNAcentral lists this ribosomal RNA (250 nucleotides) under uncultured bacterium. RNAcentral describes it as "partial 16S ribosomal RNA". It matches the Rfam family "Bacterial small subunit ribosomal RNA", at positions 524 to 773 of the family's 1533-position model. The record is from RNAcentral.
UACGUAGGGUGCUAGCGUUGUUCGGAAUCAUUGGGCGUAAAGCGAGUGUAGGUGGUCAGUAAAGUCGGGUGUGAAAGCCCACGGCUCAACCGUGGAAGUGCAUUCGAAACUAACUGGCUAGAAGAUGGUAGAGGAAGGUGGAAUUCCUAGUGUAGAGGUGAAAUUCGUAGAUAUUAGGAGGAAUACCGGUGGCGAAGGCGGCCUUCUGGGCCAUUCUUGACACUGAGACUCGAAAGCGUGGGUAGCAAAC